UCCGGGUUUCGCCCGGCAGUCUCCCCCACCCAUACCGGACAUGUCAAGGGCUGGUAAGGUUCUUCGCGUUGCGUCGAAUUAAACCACAUGCUCCACCGCUUGUGCGGGCCCCCGUCAAUUCCUUUGAGUUUUAACCUUGCGGCCGUACUCCCCAGGCGGUGUGCUUAAAGCGUUAGCUGCGACACCGAAGAGCUAGGCUCCCCAACGUCUAGCACACAUCGUUUACAGCGUGGACUAC
Molecule: unclassified non-coding RNA, 238 nt
Filed under: uncultured Alphaproteobacteria bacterium
Lineage: Bacteria; Pseudomonadati; Pseudomonadota; Alphaproteobacteria
Description: contains 16S-23S intergenic spacer region
Source: RNAcentral